GCAAAACGCGAAGAACCUUACCAGGUCUUGACAUCCCGCUGAUCGCUCUAGAGAUAGAGUUUUCCCUUCGGGGACAGCGGUGACAGGUGGUGCAUGGUCGUCGUCAGCUCGUGUCGUGAGAUGUUGGGUUAAGUCCCGCAACGAGCGCAACCCUUGAUCUUAGUUGCCAGCAUUCAGUUGGGCACUCUAAGGUGACUGCCGGUGAUAAACCGGAGGAAGGUGGGGAUGACGUCAAAUCAUCAUGCCCCUUAUGACCUGGGCUACACACGUGCUACAAUGGACGGUACAGAGGGUCGCAACCCCGCGAGGGUGGGCAAAUCCCAUAAAACCGUUCUCAGUUCGGAUUGUAGGCUGCAACUCGCCUACAUGAAGCCGGAAUCGCUAGUAAUCGGAGAUCAGCACGCUCCGGUGAAUACGUUCCCGGGUCUUGUACACACCG
This 439-nucleotide ribosomal RNA is filed under the name uncultured bacterium. Its description in RNAcentral is "bacterial SSU rRNA". It matches the Rfam family "Bacterial small subunit ribosomal RNA", at positions 954 to 1392 of the family's 1533-position model. The record is from RNAcentral.